Molecule: small nuclear RNA, 103 nt
Organism: Manis pentadactyla (Chinese pangolin)
Lineage: Eukaryota; Metazoa; Chordata; Mammalia; Pholidota; Manidae
Source: RefSeq, a predicted model, not a curated record
GUGCUCACCUCAGCAGCACAUAUACUAAAAGUGGAACGACACUGAGAUUAGCCUGGCCCCUGUGCAUAAUUACACGCAAAUUCGUGAAGCAUUCCAUAUUUUU